Non-coding RNA from Sturnus vulgaris (Common starling), 331 nucleotides. NCBI's taxonomy places the organism in Eukaryota, Metazoa, Chordata, Aves, Passeriformes, Sturnidae. The record is from RefSeq and is a predicted model, not a curated record.
UAAACUUCUUUCCUUCCUUCCACCAGCUCUGCAUUUUCCCUAAGUUUCUGCAAUUUUGAAACCUCAUGUACUUUGUCAAAUUUGGCUGCAGUGCUGCUAUCAGUUCAAAGAUUGUGGAAAAGGAAGGAGGAGAGACAGACUUGAAGGUGGAAAGAAAAUUUCCUUGUGUGAACUUCCUUUCCGAAGGAAACCACUGAAGGCUUUACCUGAGAAAGGAUUUGGGAUGCUGAUCCUCAAUUUUUUCUGUCUCCCCGCCAUCAUCUGUGGGUGUUUACUGAAGUACCAGCUCUGUGCUCACCUCUGUUUCAAUGCACUGGGAACAACAAGCUUG